GGCUGAAAUUCGCCUUCAUGAAGUCGGAAUUGCUAGUAAUGGCAGGUCAGCAUACUGCCGUGAAUACGUUCCCGGGCCUUGUACACACCGCCCGUCACACCAUGAGAGUUGGAGAUACCCGAAGCCUGUGAGCUAACUUUUAGAGGCAGCAGUCGAAGGUAGAAUCAAUGAUUGGGGUGAAGUCGUAACAAGGUAUC
This 197-nucleotide ribosomal RNA is filed under the name uncultured bacterium. RNAcentral's name for it is "partial 16S ribosomal RNA". It matches the Rfam family "Bacterial small subunit ribosomal RNA", at positions 1303 to 1500 of the family's 1533-position model. The record is from RNAcentral.